This is a long non-coding RNA of Passer domesticus (house sparrow), 452 nucleotides long. RefSeq lists it as uncharacterized. The record is from RefSeq and is a predicted model, not a curated record. The transcript has 2 exons. Lineage: Eukaryota; Metazoa; Chordata; Aves; Passeriformes; Passeridae.
GACCCUUGGUUCCUUGGGGCCCCUGAGUUUCACAAGGGAGACCUUCCUGGAUUGCCAAACAGAUUGCGUUCUCUUUGCAAUCUGUAUGGCAGUUGUCUUCUGUUAAGUGAGCAGUUUUCCUUAUCUCUUCCACACCCACUCCUCCCUCCAGGCAGACAUCUGCUGAUAACAGGCUACUGAAUGGCACUGCAUGACUGAGGAACAGCAGCUGCCUCUUCCACUGGAUCUUCAGAGGAAGACUACACCUUUCUAAAGGACCCCUGCUCCAGCAGAACCACACCUGACACUCCAGAAGGACUGCAGCCACCAUUCCAUUUGGACUGCUACCAACACCCUGACCAAGAGGGUGUCAGGUUGUGUUCUGACUCUGUCAGUGUUGUCUUGGUUUACUGCAUUGUUUAUUUCAUCUUUUUAUUUGUUUCCCUAAUAAAGAACUGUUGUUCCUGCUCCCA